CAAUAGCGUAUAUUAAAGUUGUUGCGGUUAAAAAGCUCGUAGUUGGAUUUCUGCCGAGGACGACCGGUCCGCCCUCUGGGUGAGUAUCUGGCUCGGCCUGGGCAUCUUCUUGGAGAACGUAUCUGCACUUGACUGUGUGGUGCGGUAUCCAGGACUUUUACUUUGAGGAAAUUAGAGUGUUUCAAGCAGGCCCACGCCUUGAAUACAUUAGCAUGGAAUAAUAAGAUAGGACCUCGGUUCUAUUUUGUUGGUUUCUAGAGCUGAGGUAAUGAUUAAUAGGGAUAGUUGGGGGCAUUCGUAUUUAACUGUCAGAGGUGAAAUUCUUGGAUUUGUUGAAGACGGACUACUGCGAAAGCAUCUGCCAAAGAUGUUCUCAUUGAUCAAGAACGAAAGUUAGGUGAUCGAAGAUGAUUAGAUACCGU
This 422-nucleotide ribosomal RNA is filed under the name uncultured eukaryote. Its description in RNAcentral is "SSU rRNA". It matches the Rfam family "Eukaryotic small subunit ribosomal RNA", at positions 592 to 1018 of the family's 1831-position model. The record is from RNAcentral.